GCAGUCGCCACGGGAAUACGUAGGGUGCAAGCGUUAAUCGGAAUCACUGGGCGUAAAGCGUGCGCAGGCGGUUCGUUAAGACAGAUGUGAAAUCCCCGGGCUUAACCUGGGAACUGCAUUUGUGACUGGCGGGCUAGAGUAUGGCAGAGGAGGGUAGAAUUCCACGUGUAGCAGUGAAAUGCGUAGAUAUGUGGAGGAAUACCGAUGGCGAAGGCAGCCCCCUGGGAUAACACUGACGCUCAUGCACGAAAGCGUGGGGAGCAAACAGGAUUAGAUACCCCGGUAGUCCCUGUCUCUUAUAC
RNAcentral lists this ribosomal RNA (302 nucleotides) under uncultured bacterium. RNAcentral describes it as "partial 16S ribosomal RNA". It matches the Rfam family "Bacterial small subunit ribosomal RNA", at positions 508 to 807 of the family's 1533-position model. The record is from RNAcentral.